ANACUUUCAACAACGGAUCUCUUGGUUCUGGCAUCGAUGAAGAACGCAGCGAAAUGCGAUAAGUAAUGUGAAUUGCAGAAUUCAGUGAAUCAUCGAAUCUUUGAACGCACAUUGCGCCCUUUGGUAUUCCGAAGGGCAUGCCUAUUCGAGCGUCAUU
This 157-nucleotide ribosomal RNA is filed under the name fungal sp. agrD064. RNAcentral's name for it is "5.8S ribosomal RNA". It matches the Rfam family "5.8S ribosomal RNA". Rfam says of the family: 5.8S ribosomal RNA (5.8S rRNA) is a component of the large subunit of the eukaryotic ribosome. It is transcribed by RNA polymerase I as part of the 45S precursor that also contains 18S and 28S rRNA. Functionally, it is thought that 5.8S rRNA may be involved in ribosome translocation. The record is from RNAcentral. Lineage: Eukaryota; Fungi.